RNAcentral lists this ribosomal RNA (460 nucleotides) under uncultured bacterium. RNAcentral describes it as "partial 16S ribosomal RNA". It matches the Rfam family "Bacterial small subunit ribosomal RNA", at positions 338 to 795 of the family's 1533-position model. The record is from RNAcentral.
CCUACGGGAGGCUGCAGUGAGGAAUAUUGGUCAAUGGGCUUACGCCUGAACCAGCCAAGUCGCGUGAGGGAAGACUGCCCUAUGGGUUGUAAACCUCUUUUGUCAGGGAGCAACGCCGGCUACGUGUAGCCGGACUGAGAGUACCUGCAGAAAAAGCAUCGGCUAACUCCGUGCCAGCAGCCGCGGUAAUACGGAGGAUGCGAGCGUUAUCCGGAUUUAUUGGGUUUAAAGGGUGCGUAGGCGGAAUGCCAAGUCAGCGGUAAAAUCGCGGGGCUCAACCUCGCUCCGCCGUUGAAACUGGCGUUCUGGAGUGGGCGAGAAGUAUGCGGAAUGCGUGGUGUAGCGGUGAAAUGCAUAGAUAUCACGCAGAACUCCGAUUGCGAAGGCAGCAUACCGGCGCCCAAUUGACGCUGAAGCACGAAAGCGUGGGUAUCGAACAGGAUUAGAUACCCUUGUAGUC